CCGCCCCAAAUCCUGCCCAGGGACCCGCGCAGCUUCAUGGGGGUCAUCGGUCAGUGCGACCCCUCCCCAAAUUCACCUGAUACCCCUAACCCAUCCCCUGGGACCCUAUAACCACCUGGGACCCCCAAAUCCUCUCCAAAUCCCCUCCCGAACCCCCCAAAACUGCCCAGACCCCUCCCCAAAUUCAUCCCAAAUCCAGAGGGGGAAAAAGAGGGGCUGGGAAGGCGAUUUGGGGGCGGAUUUUGGGUGGAGUUUUGGGGGAAUUUGGGGGAAUUUCGAGAUUUUGGGGAUUUUGUGGGGAUCUCAGGACCCCCCGGGAUCCCUCCCCAGACCAGGCCACCCUGGAGGAAGCUUCCAGCAAUUUCCGCCGGACGCUGAACAGGGUCAUGACCCAGGACCUGCAAGAUGGGCAGAUUCACCAGGAGCUGCUCUGGGCCAUGAGAGAGAUCAAGGAGGACUUCGAGCGGCUCAUGAAGCGUUUCCAGAGCCAGGGUGGGACCCCAAAACCCCCCCAAAACACCCCAAAAAUCCCUCCCCAAAUUCGCCCUUGGAACCCCAAAAAAUUUCCCCCGAAUUCUUCCCAAAAUCUUCAAAAAUCCCCCCAAAAAUUCCUCAUAAAUCCCCUCUAGGAACCCCCAAAUUCUCCUCCAAAUUCCCCCCAAAAAUCCCCCAAAUUCUCCCCAAAAAUUUCCCCCAAAAUCCCCCAAACCCUCCCCAAAACUCCCACCCCCAACCGCCCAUUUUAACCCAAUUUUCCCUUUUUCCGCAGUUUAUUGCCCCAAUAAAUGCGGUAAGCGGGGCCGGGGGGGUUCGGGGGGGUCCCGGGUGGUCCCAAAAAUCCCAAAUUUUUCCCAAAAUCGCCGGAAUUUGCCCCAAAAUCGCGCAGGGCGGAUGGAGGUGCUGUGGAUCGAGUGCAUCUUCUGCAACCUGACCCGCUUCG
This 940-nucleotide long non-coding RNA is filed under the name Zonotrichia albicollis (white-throated sparrow). RNAcentral's name for it is "lncRNA (ENSZALG00000000271.1)". Lineage: Eukaryota; Metazoa; Chordata; Aves; Passeriformes; Passerellidae. The record is from RNAcentral.